This 433-nucleotide ribosomal RNA is filed under the name uncultured bacterium. Its description in RNAcentral is "partial 16S ribosomal RNA". It matches the Rfam family "Bacterial small subunit ribosomal RNA", at positions 29 to 507 of the family's 1533-position model. The record is from RNAcentral.
AACGAACGCUGGCGGCAUGCCUAACACAUGCCAGUCGAACGAGACCUUCGGGUCUAGUGGCGCACGGGUGCGUAACGCGUGGGAACCUGCCCUUAGGUUCGGAAUAACUCCCCGAAAGGGGUGCUAAUACCGGAUAAUGUCUUCGGACCAAAGAUUUAUCGCCUUUGGAUGGGCCCGCGUUGGAUUAGCUAGUUGGUAGGGUAAAAGCCUACCAAGGCGACGAUCCAUAGCUGGUCUGAGAGGAUGAUCAGCCACACUGGGACUGAGACACGGCCCAGACUCCUACGGGAGGCAGCAGUGGGGAAUAUUGGACAAGGGGCGAAAGCCUGAUCCAGCAAUGCCGCGUGAGAGAGGAAGGCCUUAGGGUUGUAAAGCUCUUUUACCCGGGAUGAUAAUGACAGUACCGGGAGAAUAAGCUCCGGCUAACUCCGUG